AUGGUGUUACUUAUUUAUUUAUUCAUUCUUUCAUUCAAUAUAGGGUUGAUGUGUUGCACAUUUCCAGGGAGCAUCAGUGAUAUCAUCAUCUAUGUGGACAGUGCCCUUGAAGCUGUACAGGACACAACCUUCACAACCAUAUUCAGUUUGAUGAACAACAUAAACUGGGAGCUCAGUGGUCUAAAAGGACUUGACGUGUGGAAUGAAGGUCUCCUAGCCCACAAUGUAUUCAGUCCUCCCCACUACCCAGCCUCACAAGGAUACCAAUGCAGCCGUGUCAAGUGACAUUCAUUUGGAAGUCUGUGAACAAAAGAGAGGCACACACCUAAAAGUGAAGUUACAUGUGUGGAUGUUUAUAUGAAACAGAAGAGACACAAGAAAGGGUCUGAGACAUGAAAAACGGUGGAGGAAGAUAAACAUUUCAAGAUUCAUAUCACACUGCUGCUGCCCCGAUUCAGAGAGUCUCUAAGGAAAUAGCCAGAAGGGCUGCUCAACACUCUGCUUCCUUCCAAGGAAUAAAGAGUUUGCUACGAGCCA
This 537-nucleotide long non-coding RNA is filed under the name Bos indicus x Bos taurus (hybrid cattle). RNAcentral's name for it is "lncRNA (ENSBIXG00005031175.1)". Lineage: Eukaryota; Metazoa; Chordata; Mammalia; Artiodactyla; Bovidae. The record is from RNAcentral.